This is a long non-coding RNA of Cervus elaphus (red deer), 1573 nucleotides long. RefSeq lists it as uncharacterized. Lineage: Eukaryota; Metazoa; Chordata; Mammalia; Artiodactyla; Cervidae. The record is from RefSeq and is a predicted model, not a curated record. The transcript is spliced from 3 exons.
UGUGUGUCUGCGUGUCUGUGUCUGUGUCUGUGUGUGUCUGUGUGUCGGGCACAGACCUGGGCGGUGCUGAAGGAAGCUUACCGGAGGCGAGAGAUGGGACCUCUCAGAAGAGCAAGCCUGUUCCUUAGGAAGGGGAGAUGAAGUUCAUCUGCCUCGUCCCCUCCCCUGCUCGGGGUUGUGAGCUGACCCCCUCCCCAGGAAGCGAGCUGCGGGCCCCUCCUCCAGGCGCCCACCUCCGCCGCGGGCUGAGCGUCCUGCUGACCCCAGGCAGGAGGGGAAGACUCGUCCUGCAGGCGGGAGCCCGCGGGCCCUGCACAGCGGGCGUUCCCGGCAGAGCCUGUACUUGGGCUCUCAGGGCGAUCUCUGUCGUGAGCCUCUGCAUUCCGGGUGACGUGUAAACACGUGGGUUCGGGUUUCUCGCUGACCCUGCAGAGAAGCCCGGUCAGGCGCAGGGGGCCCCAGAGAAGCAAAGGCCGUCUUCAGCGAGCCCCACUUCCCCUUCAGCCUCCUCACAUUAGAGAGCCCAUCCUCGGGUCCACCUUCCCUCUGAGAGCUGAGGAAGCAAGAGACGUUCAGAUGUAAAGAUCAGUUUUGCUUCUGCACCCAUCAAGACAAGGCUGAGGCCUUGAACCGCAUGGAGCUUCGGGGGCGGUUUCUGCUUGUUUUUCUCCAGGGUCAGGUUAGCCAGGUGCAGGCUCCGCCGUGUGCCCGGCGCUGCCCUGGGCCCCGGGGGGCAGAACGAGGAGCCAGGCAGGACAGGCCUCUCCCUGCGGAAGAGGGUACCUUGCCAAGAGAAGAGAAAGGAAACGAGUCCUUGGUCCUUCCUGCCCUGUUCCCAGGAAGUGGCUGGUGCCAGGGCCACGUGAGUGUCCGUCCUGCCUGCCCCGUCCUCCCCUGAGACACGAGUGAGGACCCAGGGCAGCACAGGGAGCUGGAGCCCCGGGCGCCACAUCCACACAGGACUGUCCCGGCGCGGGGGAGGCCUUGGGGUGUCCGGCUCCCGAUGCAGCCUGGCCACUCUUCCUGGACAGAACCGGCUUUGAUGGGCCAAGUGGACACUAACCCUGGUGGCCCCGGCCUUGACUUCUGAUCGUGUCCCCGGACAGGGGUCAGGGACUCAAACACGUCCCUCACUGUCUGCCGAUCACCACCCCACUCCUCCCGCCCCUGACCUUAUCGCUGUAGCCAAGGCCUGUAAAUGGUGGGCUGGGCUUGACCUUGCCUCGCCUGACUCCAAGGUCCAUGUUCCUGGCCUACUGGGAGACCCGUCAGCCCCUCUGUGCCUUUAAAUGUAGGUCCAAGCAGCACAGGUCCGAUGUGGCCUGUUUCACUGUCUUCCCAUCCCCAGAAACAGCAUUAAGGGCUGCUUCCCUCUUGCUGCUGCUUCUCACACACCAUGUGUUGUUUUGGGUGUGGUAGAAUAACUACAUAAAGUUUGCCAUCUUGGCCUUUUCCCGAGAGCUCAAGUCUGUGGCAUUAAAUGCAUUCAGGUGGUGCAGCCGUCACCCCCAUCCUCCGCGGAAGUCUUCCUCUUCCCAGACUGAACCUCGGUCCCCAUGAGACACCCUCCCGC